Molecule: ribosomal RNA, 428 nt
Filed under: uncultured Succinivibrio sp.
Lineage: Bacteria; Pseudomonadati; Pseudomonadota; Gammaproteobacteria; Aeromonadales; Succinivibrionaceae
Description: bacterial SSU rRNA
Rfam family: Bacterial small subunit ribosomal RNA
Source: RNAcentral
UGGGGAAUAUUGGGGCAAUGGGGCGCAAGCCUGACCCAGCAACGCCGCGUGAGGGAAGAAGGUUUUCGGAUUGUAAACCUCUGUCGCAGGGGACGAAGGAAGUGACGGUACCCUGUAAGAAAGCCCCGGCUAACUACGUGCCAGCAGCCGCGGUAAUACGGAGGGUGCAAGCGUUAAUCGGAAUAACUGGGCGUAAAGGGCAUGCAGGCGGUUUAUCAAGUAGGAUGUGAAAGCCCCGGGCUCAACCUGGGAAUUGCAUUCUAAACUGAUAGACUAGAGUAUUGCAGGGGGAGACGGAAUUCCAGGUGUAGCGGUGGAAUGCGUAGAUAUCUGGAAGAACACCAAAGGCGAAGGCAGUCUCCUGGGGCAAAUACUGACGCUCAUAUGCGAAAGCGUGGGUAGCAAACAGGAUUAGAUACCCUGGUAGU